CCUAUGUCCUGGCGGGAUGCUUUACACAUGCAAGUCGGACGGCAGCACGGGCUUCGGCCUGGUGGUGAGUGGCGAACGGGUGAGUAAUGUAUCGGAACGUGCCCAGUAGCGGGGGAUAACUACGCGAAAGCGUGGCUAAUACCGCAUACGCCCUACGGGGGAAAGCGGGGGACCUUCGGGCCUCGCACUAUUGGAGCGGCCGAUAUCGGAUUAGCUAGUUGGUGGGGUAACGGCCUACCAAGGCGACGAUCCGUAGCUGGUUUGAGAGGACGACCAGCCACACUGGGACUGAGACACGGCCCAGACUCCUACGGGAGGCAGCAGUGGGGAAUUUUGGACAAUGGGGGCAACCCUGAUCCAGCCAUCCCGCGUGUGCGAUGAAGGCCUUCGGGUUGUAAAGCACUUUUGGCAGGAAAGAAACGGCACGGGCUAAUAUGCUGUGCAACUGACGGUACCUGCAGAAUAAGCACCGGCUAACUACGUGCCAGCAGCCGCGGUAAUACGUAGGGGUGCAAGCGUUAAUCGGAAUUACUGGGCGUAAAGCGUGCGCAGGCGGUUCGGAAAGAAAGAUGUGAAAUCCCAGGGCUUACCUUGGAACUG
RNAcentral lists this ribosomal RNA (600 nucleotides) under Bordetella parapertussis. RNAcentral's name for it is "bacterial SSU rRNA". It matches the Rfam family "Bacterial small subunit ribosomal RNA", at positions 28 to 623 of the family's 1533-position model. The record is from RNAcentral. Lineage: Bacteria; Pseudomonadati; Pseudomonadota; Betaproteobacteria; Burkholderiales; Alcaligenaceae.